CGGAGCCCGCAGCCCGCAGCCCGCGCCCCGCCAGCCGGCACCUGGAGUCGCUCGCUUUUUUUUUUUUUUUCUUCUGUCCUGCCAGACCAGCUUUUCGGAUUUGGGGUUUCCUCCUCGCGGAGCCCAAAUGGGCGGAGCCGCCGUGGUUUGGCCGUGCGCCCGCACACCCGCUCCCCGCCGCGGCGCACACGCCUGCCCCCGGCGCCGCCGAGCCCUCGCGGGUGGGGAGAGGUGAGGGAACAGCGCUGUCGUGGGUGCCCUCGGCUCCCCGCCGCAGCCGUCCCGAACGCCUGAAGCCCCCAGCGGGGGAAGAGGGACGGCUGGGGGUGGGGGGAGGCAGAGCAGGACUUGGUGAGCUCAAACCCCUAACCCCCCCUCCCGCCCCCCAUUAUUAAUUCUUUCUCGGGGUAGUGGGAGGGGAGGCCCCAGUAGGACGGCGGGUGGACGGGGCUUGCAAUGGGCCCGCGUAGAAACUUGAGUGGCUCUGUGGCCGCUGAAGGCCCCCGAACUGUAAGCCUUGGCAGAGGGACUAGGUGUGAGCGCCGGGCGGAGCGGUGCUGGGUGAAGGUGGGAGGGCCCAGUCCUAAGGCCAAGUGCACUGGGAAGGCAAACGGGGGAGUUGGAGAAACGAGCUGAAUGCCAUAGGGACUGGUGUUCUACCUCGUGGAACUGCUGGAAGAAUCAGAUGAGAUACUGUGUGUCAUUAGCAUCUUCGUCUUACAGCUGAGGAAUCUGGGGCACAUAGAAGCCUCCAGCGAGAGACCGUGCUGUGUCCACCUGUCAUCUGAGACUGAAAAGCAUUGCCACCCCCUGGGCUAAGAGGAUGGUGGGACCACAUCACGGAAGGACCUGAGUCCCCAGUUGACUACGUGGAGUGGAACUGUUCAGCCCUGCAUCCCGCCAACCUGAACUGACCUGUCAAGGAAGUCAGAAACAAAUUUUCAUUCUGUUAAUGCAUUAAAACUUCGGGUUAUUUGUCCCAGUAGUUGGCCUAUCCUCAUUACUGCAAGAGAGAUGUAAGCAUGCGGACUAUCCUGGGCAGCAACGAAGUGGUUCUUCUUCCCCUGACCCGGCAGUGUGGGAAGGUUGUUGCAGAGCUCUCUCACUGGCUUCCGAUGCCUUUUAAAAAUUACUGGUGAGUGUGAGAGACACUCUAGGAUCUCAAGUCAGCAACAUGCUCCAGAAAAUAACGCUCGUGAUGGCGGCUGAGUUGCUAGUGAUUUAACUGAGCAAAUAAACAGCAUAGGAAAAAAAGAUCCCAGUGAUUGCUGGGGCGUGUACUCAGUUAGGGGUCAGGUGGGGGAGGUCAAACUGGAGCAAUCUGGAAAGCUUUUCUAUGUGUCCUGCCCCUCCAGAGCUAGAAGAACGGAAGCUAAAGCAGAUACUGAUUUGAUGGCACCUUCUUUCUUCUAGCAGCAGUGUGUGAUGUCCUUCUGUUUCUUCAGUGAAAAACUCUAGGGGAAAGGGAACUCAGAAUGAGAUCAAGAUAAACUUUCCCAGGAUCUCUGGGAUGCUGAAAGUGACUGCGGCGUCUCCGUGGGAAUCUGAAUGAAACCGAGGGUCAUCCACAGUGUAUCUGUAUCUUUGGACUGUGUUUUGUUUAGACGGGGAACAAUCUAGUCAGUGAUCUAUACAUUCACCCCCAGUGGCCAUUUGGGUUCCUUGCCCCGCUGCCUUCCUGGGGGAGAAGGAAGAUAUUUAUCCUCCCACAGGGUUUGUUUCUUUGCUUUAACAGAACACACUGAUCUCGGAACAAUAAAGCCAGUUACAGAUUAACUGAUCCCCGCGUCUCAGUUUCAUGGAACCAUCAAAGUCCAAGUUGGAUAGCUCUGGCUAAGAUUAUUUACGAGGUCCUACCCGAAUGUAUUCCGUGCAAGUUGCAAGCUAAGUCAGCGGACGACCCUGCGUCUUUUUUCCUGCUCCCCCAUCCAGCUAGACUGAGGACGGCAAACUGGCAUCAGCCGCCCACGCUCCUCCUACAGCCGUGGUCUGUCUGAAAAUCAGAGUGAUUUCGUACAAACGUCCAGGCUUAAAUUUCUCUUAAAAAUUAGGGCAGCCUAAAAAUACUGGACCCUCAUUCCCAUCCACCAACAACAGUCAGAGCUGGAGUGAAAUGGGCGUGCACUUUCCAGUGGGAUGCAGUUCCUAACACUCAGCUCUGGGGGACGUCUGUCUUGACCUGCCUGACUCCUGUAGGUGUUAGAGUUCCGGGCUCUCAGUCCAGUGCUCCUUGCUGUCUUCUCUGCUUAGCUCAUUUUUUUUUUUUUUUUUAAUAAAAAGAAGACUGGAUGGGGAUAACCUAGAUAGGCAUCUUAGAUCUACUAUAAUGUGACCUGGGGAAAGUCAUUUAUUAUCUCUAUGUUCCUUGUUUAUAAAAUGCCUAAAGCAAAAGAUGGACUGUUCUGGAGACUAGCCAAAGUAAGGCAUGAAGAAUAGGCCUCCAUAUUAGGUCUUCCCUUUCUCCUGAAGGACACUUACAUCUGUUUCCACCUUGGUCACCUUGUCUCUAGUCUUUUCACUCCUCCAUUCCAUAGUUUUAAAAUGUUUUAUUUACCCACCCUCGCAGCUCUGAUGGUCGAAGGAGAUCUAUGUCAGAUAGUCACACAGAUAAAUAUAGAGCUGUCGCUAGGAGAAGUGCUAUGAAGGAGAUGGCCUUCGCAUAAAGAGACCUUGUUCUGGGGCCUUCCAUAAAGGCAGAAAGGUCAGAUAAGGCUCUCAAGACCUGAAGGAUAAGGAGUUGUAUGAUUGAAGAGGGGUUUGAAGAAUAUUCUAGGUUGUGAAAACAGCAUGUGUGAAAGUUCUGUGGGGACAGGAAACACGGAGAAGAUGCAGAGCUAGAAGAAAUCCAGUGGGUCAGGUCAGAGGGAAUAAGGGAGAGUGGGGAUAUGCGGCUGGAGAGGAAGGUAAGAUUAAACAGCACUGUAGUCCAUGCUUAAGAGCUUUAUCUUUAUCUUAAAAGCAGUAGUAAAGCCAUAGAAGGUUUCCACAGGGGGCUUUACAGAAAGGUAACUCACUCUGUAGUGUGGAAAUCAGGUGGGAAGAAAUAUCAGAUUGAAUCCUAUGAAAGUGUCAGAUCCAGAUUCUUUUUGUCCUAGAAGAUGACCAUUUCCUAUGGUUCCACCUAAUAGAUGGAUGCAAGGUAGACCAGUUCGGGGACUGGGGAGAGAUGGCGAUGGACUGGACUAGGAUGGGGUAUUGGAAAUGGAGAGAAGGGCACAGGUCUGAUGGAUAUUUACAAGGUAAAAUCGAUGAGCCUUAGUGAUGGAUUGGUGUAGGGUAUCAAGGACGAUGCCCAGACUUGUGUGCCUUCUUGGGAAGUGGUGUCAUGCUUGAGUAGGGUAGACUGGCACAUGCCAGGUUUGGUGAGCAGGGAUGAUUCCACAUGGGUUCAAAGUGCCUUUGUAAGAACCAAGAGGAGAUCGCCUUUGAAAGUAUCUCUACAGAUAUAUCUUGCCUUGGCUUUAGCUGAAUUUCAGGGGGCACCGAGUGACCCUAGAUUAUGUUAAAGUACCAGCUGAAGGUUCCACAUCAUGGAAAUUUUAUAAGUUAAGGCCCUAAACCUAUGUGUGGUGUAGACUCAGAGUUUUAAUUUUUGUAAUGACUUUUCAUACUCCUUUCAGAACCCCAGGCAGACUAUGUUUGUGA
Molecule: long non-coding RNA, 3645 nt
Organism: Mustela erminea (ermine)
Lineage: Eukaryota; Metazoa; Chordata; Mammalia; Carnivora; Mustelidae
Exons: 4
Source: RefSeq, a predicted model, not a curated record